Molecule: ribosomal RNA, 425 nt
Filed under: uncultured bacterium
Lineage: Bacteria
Description: partial 16S ribosomal RNA
Rfam family: Bacterial small subunit ribosomal RNA
Source: RNAcentral
GUGGGGAAUCUUGCGCAAUGGGCGAAAGCCUGACGCAGCCAUGCCGCGUGAAUGAUGAAGGUCUUAGGAUUGUAAAAUUCUUUCACCGGGGACGAUAAUGACGGUACCCGGAGAAGAAGCCCCGGCUAACUUCGUGCCAGCAGCCGCGGUAAUACGAAGGGGGCUAGCGUUGCUCGGAAUUACUGGGCGUAAAGGGCGCGUAGGCGGAUCGUUAAGUCAGGGGUGAAAUCCCAGAGCGCAACUCUGGAACUGCCCUUGAUACUGGCGAGCUUGAGUGUGAGAGAGGUAUGUGGAACUCCGAGUGUAGAGGUGAAAUUCGUAGAUAUUCGGAAGAACACCAGUGGCGAAGGCGACAUACUGGCUCAUUACUGACGCUGAGGCGCGAAAGCGUGGGGAGCAAACAGGAUUAGAAACCCUGGUAGUCC